RNAcentral lists this long non-coding RNA (2004 nucleotides) under Lathyrus oleraceus (garden pea). RNAcentral describes it as "Pisum sativum (pea) long non-coding RNA (PSAT_LNC033596)". The record is from RNAcentral. Lineage: Eukaryota; Viridiplantae; Streptophyta; Magnoliopsida; Fabales; Fabaceae.
CACAAGUUUGAGUUUGAAUCACCAAUUUGAACUAAUCAUCAUAAGUAGGUAUUUUUCCAUUACAUAAGCAUGUUUUCAUAAUAAUCACAAGUGAGCUUUUUCAUUUACAAGCAUGAACCAUAAUCAUUCUAUGAGCAUAUUUCAUUACAAGCAUUUUAAAUGAGCUAAUCCUAAUACUAUGGCACCAUGUUACAUCCUAAUGACUAAUACAUAAGCAUCAAAAUACAUGGCUUGAAACAAAAAAAGAAAAUGAGCAUAUUUCUUUGAACUUGGUAGCCCUUUCCUUAAUGUCUCCAUGAUCCAUAUACUUCCAUUUGGCCAUGCCGCUUUGAGAUCAUUUUGUACCUACAAAUCAUCAUCACAAAAUAGUCUAUUAGCAAGCCGUCGUCACUAAAAAUCAUGAACAAGAGCAGAAAUGUUCAAUAAUUCACAACAAAGACAAAACAGCCCAUCAAGCAACAAGUUUUAGUACAUCAACUGAGCCUAACAUCACCAACUAACUCAUAAUAGCAAGUAAUCCAUCAAAAUUUCACAACACAUCAGUUCAUGACAGUCAACAAUCAAACAAUUUCCAUAACAGAAAAAAAACUAACAGAGAAUCAAUUUUAGAUGCAAACUACAAACUGCAACAACAACAGUGACACAACAGUCAUAGCAUCAUGAGCAACUCAUAAGACCUAGCAGGCCAUGGAAGCAAUGUGCAGCAAAGAAAUAAAACCAAAAUCCAUGUCCAUUAUCAGUUGCACAAACAUAUCCAAACAUCAGUUCUCAAUAAGCAACAGUAAUCCAUUUUUCAACAUAAACUACAAAAUCAUGAGCAAUUCGAACCAAGCUAAAAAAAAUCAUGGUCAGCUCAUUCAAAUUGUCACAAGUUUUUCACGUGACACAAUUCAGCUAGACUAAUUUCCAAGCUAAAACUCACAUUUUAUUUUAGAAAAUCCAUUCCAUUUCCAGCUAGAUAAAAUCUGACAGACUCUGAUUCAAUUUCCUAAUCUACCCUCCCUUGGACCACUCUAUAAAAGGAUGAUUAUUCUAUCAUUUGGGGGGGCCCAGAAAUCAUUCCCUCAGACACAUUCUCUCUCAAAUCUCACGCACUCAUUGCAAACAGACCUAGAAUUUCUCACUCAUUGAAGAAGAAGAAACGCUCAGAAGAAGAAGGAGAAUGUUAAGGAAGGAAGAACGAAGAGCAAGCAUACAUACCUGAGCAUCUCUGGUCACCUUCUCCGGCGAGAUAGAUCUUUAACUUCAUCAGUUGCUUCAGCUUUGCAUACCAUGAUGUAGAUCAAGGCUCAUAGAAUCAAAGCCCUUUGGUUUGAGGCUUUGAUUAUUUCUCUUCUUCAUUUAAUUUUUGUUUGAAGCCCUAAGGUUCUUCCAUGUUCUCCUUCGAUUGGAAUUGUAGAUGUUGCUUUUUGCAUAUUGGUGUGUGGGUCUAUAAUCUCAAGACUGAAAGGAGUUGAAUGAUGGUCCAUAUUUGUGGUUUGAGUUCCACCACUACCGACGAUGAGCUCUAGCAAGGCAGAGCGAGAAGAACCUCUGUAGCUCUAUUUGAAUGUAAGAAACGUGGAAAAUGUGACGUUUAUUCCAGGCCACGUGUUGUUGCUUCUUUAGAUUUCCCUUUUGGGCCUAUUUCACCCGAAGCCCGAUGUUUUGGCUUCUUAUACCAUGUUUCAGGCCUCAAACCCCCCUCUGUUCAGAGCUUAAGGCCAGUGAGCCUUGGAUUGGGCCCUUGCGCAUCCUUACUAGUUCCACCACUGUUUUUCACUUUUACACCCCUGAUCUUUGUUUUUUGUUUUAAUAUCUUAUUUUUUUUGUUUUUAUUGUUUUAUUAUUUUUAAUUUCUUGUCAAUAUGAUCACAUACUCUUGAUUUUGUUUCACAUUUUCAAAUAUUUUCUAUUAUAUGAUUAAUAGUUUUUUAAUCCUUUUGAUUUUAUUUUCCUUCUUUCUUUUUGCUAUUGCGUUUCGUAUUUUAAGAGAUUAAUCUGUAUUAACUCUCUAAUACGUUU